AUUGAACGCUGGCGGCAGGCUUAACACAUGCAAGUCGAGCGGAGUGAUGGUGCUUGCACUAUCACUUAGCGGCGGACGGGUGAGUAAUGCUUAGGAAUCUGCCUAUUAGAGGGGGACAACAUCUCGAACGGGAUGCCAAUAUCGCAUACGUCCUACGGGUGAAAGCAGGGGAUCACUUGUGACCUUGCGCUAAUAGAUGAGACCAAGUCGGCUUAGCGAGUGGGUGGGGUAAAGGCCUACCAAGGCGACGAUCUGUAGCGGGGCUGAGAGGAUGAUCCGCCACACGGGGACUGAGACACGGCCCAGACUCCUACGGGAGGCAGCAGUGGGGAAUAUUGGACAAUGGGGGGAACCCUGAUCCAGCCAUGCCGCGUGUGUGAAGAAGGCCUUAUGGUUGUAAAGCACUUUAAGCGAGGAGGAGGCUCUUUUGGUUAAUACCCAAGAUGAGUGGACGUUACUCGCAGAAUAAGCACCGGCUAACUCUGUGCCAGCCGCCGCGGUAA
Molecule: ribosomal RNA, 503 nt
Filed under: uncultured bacterium
Lineage: Bacteria
Description: partial 16S ribosomal RNA
Rfam family: Bacterial small subunit ribosomal RNA
Source: RNAcentral